AUGCUCCUUGAAGUCUUCACCGGAAAAAGACCCACUGAUGUCAUGUUUGGCGCACAACUAACUCUUAGGCAGUGGGCUCAUCGGGCAUUUCCUACGGAUCUUGUCCAGGUCGUUGACGGCCAACUUCUACAUGACUCCUCAAUUUCAGGCUGCAGAUUGGACUAUGGCUUCUUAGCGUCAGUCUUUGAGGUGGGUUUGCACUGUUCCAGUGACUCUCCUGACCAGAGGAUGACAAUGCACGACGUGGUCGUGACGCUGAAGAAGAUCAAAGCCGAGUACACAAAACUGGUAGCAGCUAUGUCAACUAGUGCAACACAGUGA
This 321-nucleotide ribosomal RNA is filed under the name Triticum aestivum (bread wheat). RNAcentral describes it as "partial small subunit ribosomal RNA". Lineage: Eukaryota; Viridiplantae; Streptophyta; Magnoliopsida; Poales; Poaceae. The record is from RNAcentral.